Molecule: long non-coding RNA, 631 nt
Filed under: Anas platyrhynchos platyrhynchos (common mallard)
Lineage: Eukaryota; Metazoa; Chordata; Aves; Anseriformes; Anatidae
Description: lncRNA (ENSAPLG00000017451.1)
Source: RNAcentral
UCUGUAAACGGGAAUACAAUUUGGCUAAGAGUGGAUAACCAAAGUUUUCCAUGGAUGUUUUUGUGUGUGUAUUUAGCCAUAUAACAAAAUAUUGUCACCAAGUUUUGAAAAGUUACUGUUUUCUUUACAACACACAAUAACUACUUUUUCAAUGGGUAUUGCUAGUUCUGAACCCUGGAGGAUGCGAAAAAGACACAGAAGAUCUGUACUGUAAACAACAAGAGGAGUUUAAGUAACUAGAUCAUCAUUUCCCUUGUCAUCUACAAAGAUUCUGAGAGUGGUGAAAGAGAUGGUAAUGGAAGAGGAGCUGUGUAGAUGAAUGCAACAAAGACUGAGAUAUUUGCAUGCCAACAUUCACAGCAGAUGUGAACUGGACAAGUGCAAGAUAGAAGGAAGAUGAACACCAGCUAUCUAUUUCACUUAGUCUUCACCUAACACUGAAGAAUAAAGGCAUAUCUGUACCACAUCCAGUAUCAAUCUUCAAGCCAAAGACUCCUCUCCAGUUUUUAAUAUUUGGAAUAAUUUUUAUGUUUGGCAGCAGCAGAUGGAUCCUAAAUACCCGCAAAGUCGUUAGUUUAAUAACACAAUUGGUAAGUACAGUCAUUUUCAGUGAAGGGCAACUGUUACAAUU